Non-coding RNA from Camelina sativa (false flax), 890 nucleotides. NCBI's taxonomy places the organism in Eukaryota, Viridiplantae, Streptophyta, Magnoliopsida, Brassicales, Brassicaceae. The record is from RefSeq and is a predicted model, not a curated record.
CUCACAUAAUUUUACUCUACGUGGACUAAACAAAAGGAAAACGAUAGUGUUUAAUCAAUGGCUCGAUUUCUUCUUCGUCGUCGUGAUACCGUGGAUCGCUGUUGAAUGCCUUCAGCGCCGUUUAUAUCAGGGUCCGACUCUGUUGCUGAUCCUAGCCAUGGCUCUCUCUACCAAUCUGAGCAGAUCCGAUGAUGAUGUUAGCCCCAUCGAUGGUCGAUCGGUUGUGGUGGAAUUCUUCUUCUUCGAUCCACCAGAAUAUGUUCAUCAGAUCCGACGAUGAUGGGUUUUUUCUUCUUCUACGUUUCGUUCCCACAAAUUGGAAGAGAUCCGAGGGAGAAAAAGAUGAGUGCUCCAGUGAAAGAGGAGAGCUAUUUUUGUGUGGUAGAAAGCUGUGUAACAUUUGUAAUUCUAUAGAUGAUAAGGUAAUAUGUAGAGAACAUAAUUUGUAUUCGAUUUUGUGUGUCACAUUUUGUUUUCAAGGAACUGAGUGUAUUUUAACCGAGUUUUAUCGGCUAAGAUGACAUCAAAAUUAGACCAGUGGCCGAAUUUCAAGUCCUACAUCUUAGGAGACGCAACACAGAAUAUGUUACUUAUGUAAGUUUUCUUCUCACAAUGGUUCCAUAUCUAGGUUUAUUAUGAUUUUCAAAUUAGUAUUUGUUGGUGAAGUUACUUUCGUGUUGUGGACAAGUCAGGCUAGGCCUGUAGCUGUUCAUCAUUUUUUGAAGUUUCUGAUCGUUAGAUAGUUUUAGCCAGAGUUUUGUAUUAGACGUUAUGUUGACGCAGUUAGUAUCUUAUAAUGUAUAUUGUGCUCCUAAAUAUUUUUGUAAUCAUGAACUGGCCAGGAGAAGUUGUUUUCUCCAGUAAUUAAGUAUUGCAUAUGAACUUGCAAA